CUCUUGCCUCGCCCCUAGAGUUGGUCAUUUCAUUGUUAUCUUUUGUUUUCACGUGUUAUUGGAAAAACAAAACAAAAAAAUGUUUUGCUGGCAUGCAUUUUAAAUUUGUGUAAAAGGAAUUGGAUUAUUUCUCAUUCAAGUUUCUUUUCACUCAGUGCUAGGAUUUCAAAAUCAAUAUUAAUAUCUUCCUCUCCUUCUAACCGCUGUGCUCAUCCACCUUAUUUUACCUCUCCCAUCUCCUGCCACCACCAAGAGUACAAUCAUCACUCUCGAAUAUAUCCCUUUAUGCAGUGCUUCUCAAACAUUUGUGUGCAUGUGUGUUACCUGGGAUAUUGUUAAAAUGUGGGCUCUGAUUCAACAGGCCUGGGUGGGGCCUGAGACUGCAUUUCUAGCCAGCUCCCAGGUGAUACCUAUACUUCUGGUCCUGGUGGAACCACUCUGGGGAACAAGGCCCUUAUGGGCUUCUAUGAGAAUUCAUUCUGGAUUUCUGGGUCACAGAGUAUGUAUUGAUCUAAUUUGAUUAAUAUUGCCCAUCACCUCUCCAGUCUGGCUGUACAACCUCUACCAGCAGAUCAGGAGGUUGGAAGGCCUAUAUUUAUGUGGGGAUGGGAAGAAGGCCUUCUCCUUGCUUCCUCCCCUGACCCCUACAGUGUGCCUGGUCUGGGCCAAACCUCCUGUCUCCCUUAAUCAGAGUGGCCCCAAGACUCUGAAGUGAUGUCCCUGGCUCGCAAUGCCCAGCCAAGUCAAUGAGAGACCCAAGAUUGGCAUCCUGGCUUUAAACAGGUGUUCUUGCCUUGGUUUUAUCCUUGAGGAACAUGAAGUUCAAGACCAAGGCCAUGGAGCUAAAAGGCCACAUCUGAGGGAGAACCACAAGAAAACGGGAUGGAAGGACCGGGCCUGGGGUUUUCAGGCACCGAUGCUGAAGGCAUCUGACCAGUGGCCUGAAUACUUGUGCAGCUCCACAGCAAGUGGGUUUUAGCAAAAAUAAACUUCGGUUCUAGGAGUUGGUCCUCAUGGCCUGAAUGUUUAGCAGAAAAAAGAAACUUUAGUUCUAGGGCUUCAGGAGCAGAAGUUUUACGGUUAGAUAUAUCCAGAGGGGUCAGGAUCUGGGUGGGGUCUGUUAGGUGGGUCUCAGCUGUGGGUAAAGCUAUCUACCAUGUGCCUUACUCAGUAAUAACAGGUUUUGUUUGGAGAGUUAGCGGGUAUGUGAAGAGCCAGGAUGCUGGACAUGAAGGGAUGCCACCUUCUAAGACCUUCCUGAGCUGUGAGCGGCUAAUCAGGUCAGCUUCAGAAACCCAUGGGCUCUGCUUUCUCCACACGCACAUCUGUCCAGGCGUUUCCAGGUGCCAGGCCCCAGCCCCAAGCAUUUCACAAUCAGAAGAGCUCAACAUGUGCACGUUUUGAGAUUUCAUGUCACAUGACCUCUUACAUCUCGUCCACACCCGCCCGCCCCUGUUUGCCAUCGGAGGGCUGAAACUGUAUGCAUGACAGAGCAUUUCUCUGAAGGCCUGGGGAAGCUUCCUGCUCUUCCAACCACCUUCAGGGUCAAAAGGCCUUUUGAGCCUACACAUUAAUUCUUAGGCUUCAGUAUAAUAUCUUACAGCUCUCUGGUCUUUACGAAGUACUUCACACAUAGGUAUUGCCUUUGACUCACAAUGACCCCAUGACAGGGUUGAGACUCACUUAUCAUGGAGAUUCAAAAGAAUUGGUUGGCCAUGGCCGCACAUUGUUUAAGUGAGGAAAUGGGACUUCUUGUUCAUUUUUCCAUAACAGACCUUAGGAAACUUAGAGUAGGUCUCUUCUGGGAUCCUCACUACCCUAGUAGUGGCCCACCUCCCAGACUCAGGGAUGCUCACCAAGGCAGAAGGGAAGAAGUCUAGGGAGUGGGGGAUGCCUGAGCAGAAAGGAGCGAGAGGUGUUAGUUGAGGUCUCAUGGGACUUCUGGACGGCCUUCUCCCAGGUAGGUUUCUGUCAGUGGGCUCUUUCUAGAGCCUGGGGAAAGAGCGGGGG
RNAcentral lists this long non-coding RNA (2010 nucleotides) under Canis lupus familiaris (dog). RNAcentral describes it as "lncRNA (ENSCAFG00000056920.1)". Lineage: Eukaryota; Metazoa; Chordata; Mammalia; Carnivora; Canidae. The record is from RNAcentral.